GUGCGUGUGCGUAGUACG
RNAcentral lists this unclassified non-coding RNA (18 nucleotides) under Chlamydomonas reinhardtii. RNAcentral's name for it is "small RNA Cre_2045". The record is from RNAcentral. Lineage: Eukaryota; Viridiplantae; Chlorophyta; Chlorophyceae; Chlamydomonadales; Chlamydomonadaceae.